UGCCAGCCGCCGCGGUAAUACGGAGGGUGCAAGCGUUGUUCGGAAUUAUUGGGCGUAAAGCGCGUGUAGGCGGUUCGUUAAGUCUGAUGUGAAAGCCCGGGGCUCAACCCCGGAAGUGCAUUGGAAACUGGCGAACUUGAGUACGGGAGAGGAAAGUGGAAUUCCGAGUGUAGAGGUGAAAUUCGUAGAUAUUCGGAAGAACACCAGUGGCGAAGGCGGCUUACUGGCACAUUUCUGACGCUGAGGCGCGAAGGCGUGGGUAGCGAACGGGAUUAGAUA
Molecule: ribosomal RNA, 279 nt
Filed under: uncultured bacterium
Lineage: Bacteria
Description: partial 16S ribosomal RNA
Rfam family: Bacterial small subunit ribosomal RNA
Source: RNAcentral